RNAcentral lists this transfer RNA (60 nucleotides) under Metacrangonyx samanensis. RNAcentral describes it as "transfer RNA Leucine". The record is from RNAcentral. Lineage: Eukaryota; Metazoa; Arthropoda; Malacostraca; Amphipoda; Metacrangonyctidae.
CUUAAGAUGACAGAUUUAAUGUGAUAGCUUUAAAAGCUAUCAAUGGGGGACCUCUUAAGA